GAUGAACGCUGGCGGCGUGCUUAACACAUGCAAGUCGAACGAUGAAGCCCAGCUUGCUGGGUGGAUUAGUGGCGAACGGGUGAGUAACACGUGAGUAACCUGCCCUUAACUCUGGGAUAAGCCUGGGAAACUGGGUCUAAUACCGGAUAGGAGCGUCCACCGCAUGGUGGGUGUUGGAAAGAUUUAUCGGUUUUGGAUGGACUCGCGGCCUAUCAGCUUGUUGGUGAGGUAAUGGCUCACCAAGGCGACGACGGGUAGCCGGCCUGAGAGGGUGACCGGCCACACUGGGAGUGAGACACGGCCCAGACUGCUACGGGAGGCAGCAGUGGGGAAUAUUGCACAAUGGGCGCAAGCCUGAUGCAGCGACGCCGCGUGAGGGAUGACGGCCUUCGGGUUGUAAACCUCUUUCAGUAGGGAAGAAGCGAAAGUGACGGUACCUGCAGAAGAAGCACCGGCUAACUACGUG
RNAcentral lists this ribosomal RNA (466 nucleotides) under uncultured bacterium. RNAcentral's name for it is "partial 16S ribosomal RNA". It matches the Rfam family "Bacterial small subunit ribosomal RNA", at positions 28 to 507 of the family's 1533-position model. The record is from RNAcentral.